UCUAUUUUUUGCAAUGCAUUGCGCAAUGCUUUUUCCUGUUUCGGUCGUCUGGCAAUUUGUUUUGUCACGCCUUGUUGAGAGAUUUUCUAGAUCACAACUCGAAACGAGAUGCAGAUGGGCGCCCACACGGCAAAAGGUGCUCUCUCACUCAAAAGUAAGUUCAACCAGAGCGCUGGAGAUGUAUAUUUUCACAAUCAUUGAAGUAUCUUCGUGUAUUUAAUUUGAAAUGGAAAACCAAAGCUGAAACCCAACUCCCUCCAUCCAACGUGUGUUCUAUAAAAUCGAAUCAAAACGAACCCAAAAUUUAGCAAAUGCGCCAUUUGAAGUUGCCUGAAUUUGGCACGCCUUUGGAUUUCACCCCAGCACCCAUUUGAGAGUGUGUGUUAUCAUAUUAAAACUUGACCUACAUACGAGCUUAAUAACCGGUAUGUUACACUAAGGAAACUUUUCGUUGGGUUGCCACAGUCACUUAGAAACUUUGCAACAAAUUGGGUCCUGGAAAGUUUUCUAAUGGACAAAAAUUAGUUUAAGAUUAUAUACUCAUAUAAUUUUUGAGCUGCUGUUUUUAUUAGAUUUUAUUUCUUGAAGAAAAAUAAAUAAUAUAAGUGAUGGCUUUAUAGUUCUUCUCUGUA
Drosophila kikkawai is the source of this 632-nucleotide non-coding RNA. The record is from RefSeq and is a predicted model, not a curated record. NCBI's taxonomy places the organism in Eukaryota, Metazoa, Arthropoda, Insecta, Diptera, Drosophilidae.